AGCUGUUAAUUUUAAGAGUGAGAUUUUUGACUAUGCUUAAAAUAAAGACUUUAUUUUUAAGAUAUAGAAAAUGGAAUAGUGACACUAUGUAGAUGAUUCUCAAAAAUUUUAUUAUUUUAAAAAAUAUGUAUUUAAUGAAAAUAAUAUGUUUUACGUAGUUUUAUACAGUCCAUUUUGACACUGGUUUCCCCUCCUCCAACUCCUCCCAGAUUCUUCCUACCUCCAGACCCACACAGCCCCAUGUCCAUCUGUUCAUUCAUUCUCUCUCUUUCUUAGUCUCUUGCUUUCCUUCUUUCUUUCUCUUAAAUAGGCAAAUAAAAGUAACUAAUAAAUGAAAAUUUAAUGAAAAAAAUAAGAAAACACACACACACACACACACACACACACACACACACACACACACCAUGAAAACACAAAAUCAAGACCAUAAGAUACAAGGAAAAAAAAAACCCAGCAAGACAAGCAAGCAAGCAAAAACAAAACAAAACAAAAUAAAACAAAAACAACUCCCCCAAGCCCCCAAAACAAAACAACCUCCCAAACCAAAAAGCUCCCACAAAACAAACAAACAGAAACUCCAAAGAAUUAUGAGGCAAAAAGUCUACAAAAAUACCAUUGAGUUUGUUUUGUGUUGGCCAUCUACUGCUGGGCAUGGGGUAUGCCCCUUAAGUGUGGUUUGUAUACCCAAAGAGACUCCAUUAAAGAAAACUAAAUCUUCCUGGACAUCACUGGAGAUAACUUUUGGGUAAGGGAUGGGAGAUUGUGUACACUUUGUUUUUUCUUUUUUGGAUUGGGCUCCUGCCCAGCCUGUGCAGACCCUGUGCAUGCUGCCACAGCAUCUGUGAGUUCAUAUGUGCAUCAGUCUUGUGUCCAUGGUGUUCAUCCCCUCUUGCUCUUAGAAUCUUUUUACUGCCAUCUCUUCCACGUACCCCCAUGAGCCCUGACGGGAGUUCUUGAGACUAUCUAUGUACUUAUGUAAGAAUUCAUAGAGGUGUGUGUGUGUGUGUGUGUGUGUGUGUGUGUGUGUGUGUAGAGGCAUAGGUGUCUUCCUUAAUUGCUCUUCAUUUUAUUUUUAAGGCAGCAUCUCUCAUUGACUCUGGAGCUUAUUCAAGUAGACUAGAUGGCCAGUAGCCCCCAGGGAUUCUCCUGUCUCUAUCUCCCUAGUGUAGGACUAUAGUAGUACACUGUCACAUGGGCUUCUAUGUAGGUGCUGGGGGUUUGGACUCAAGUCCCCAUGCUUGUAUAUCAGGCACUUUACUGACUAAGUUGUCUUCCCAGCCAGGUCCAUAGAUAAUUUUUAAAUGUGAAUUAUAGAUCUUUAUCAUACCACAACUUAAAACUUAAAUAAAUGCUUAGUAACAUUAAUUUAUAAUGUUUAUUAAUUGAUAAAGGAUGAUGUAUUUUAACAGAGGACUAUAUUUUCAAAACACCGAGUGAGAAAACAUUAUUGUUUUACAUUUUUGCCAAUUCCUCUCACUUCUGGUUUAAGGAAGUUGGUUGUCCAUUACUUUGUAUGCUAAUGUAAAAACAAAAACAUAGAGGAUGCAUGCAUUCUUCCACCUGCUUCUAAGUUUAAUCCAUUGUACUCUAUAGUUUUGAGUAGAGUAUCAGAAAAAAAGGUUGUCCCCCAAAUGUGGUGAUUUGAAGAUGUCCCCCGCAGGAUCAGGUGUUGGAACACUUGCUCUGCAGUUGGUCGCAGUUUUGAGGAGGAGGUUUUGGAACCUUUAGGAGGUGGAGGCUGAGGGAAUCACUUUCACUAGUUGUAGGGUUUGAGUGUUUAUAGUGUUGCCCUGGUUUCAGUUCACUUGCUAGGCUUUGUGUUUGUGGUUGAAGACAGGAUUGCUCAGCUUCAUGCUCUGGCCAACGGCAUCAUCCCUUCCUUGCCACUGUGGACUCUAUUCUCUUGGAGUAGUAAGCCAAAAUACACUCCUUUUUCUUUAGUUGCCAAGGUCAUGAUAUUUUAUCACAGCAAUAGAAAAGAAACUAACACAUCAGAUAAAUAUGUAGUUGGUGAAGGCAAAGGUAUUUUAAUGGCCUCUUUCCACAAAUACAAUUAUUUUCUGAUACUGCACCAAAAAAUUGGAAAACUCAUAUUAUUAAUGAGUUUUUUCUGUUUUUGCUUUGACAGAUUGCAGUCUGUUUUAAUUGAUAUGUUACAUAUUCACUUGUAUUAAUUCUUUAGGUUGGGAUGGAAAUUAAUGGGCUUCAUCAUGUCACCUUCAUACACAUGACAUAUGUGUCAUUUAUGCAUAGUUGCUUUAAAUGGAUCUUUUACCCAUACAUGAUUCUGUAUUAGCAUUCCCUGAUCAUUGUAAAUGUUGUCUUAUGGAAUAUUCCAGUCUCCCAAAUGCCACUGCAUUUCAUUGUACAACUUUCAGAAAAAAAAAUCACACUUGUUAUUAUCCCCCCUGAUUGUAUUGCGAAGGCUUUAAAGUAUUGAGUGGCUGUCAAACCCAUGGUGGCUGGCAGAAACAAGUGUCCUCAACUAGUGAGUUUUUCUAUUAAGGUUGAACUGUGUCCUUGGCAACAAAUGCCAUCAGUUAUUUUCUCUGAAACAACAGUCUUCCUUAAUUCAUUUUUGAGAAAAUGUGUGCUAAGCACUUGAGUGUUUUACAUGUCAGUCAAACUUUCAAAUAAAAAGUAUUCCACG
RNAcentral lists this long non-coding RNA (2650 nucleotides) under Mus musculus (house mouse). RNAcentral describes it as "long non-coding RNA chr7:76054093-76056743". The record is from RNAcentral. Lineage: Eukaryota; Metazoa; Chordata; Mammalia; Rodentia; Muridae.